ACGUGAAGAACUUCUGGUGGUCAGCCAUAUUGGAUUCGUCUCAUUCUGUAGUUUUGGUUAAAAGAAAUUAAAAUGAAUGGUGAAAAGAAAAGUAGAUUCCGUUUCACAGAAUUAGAAAGAAUAAAAGCUCUGGAAGAGUUUUUUAAUCAAGUUUGCGAAGAUAUUACAAACUGAGAAGAAGAGUUAUGGGGAAGCAUACACACUGUUCUUUGCCGAGAUUCUUUAAGGUAAGUGCUUAUAUUUCGUUAACUGAAUAGUUUUGAUAUAAAAAGUAAUAAUAUGCUCAUGUAUAUUUAGGUUUACGUCUUGUAGCUUGAGAUUAUUAAAAGAGCAUAUACUCGAUCAAAUAAAAAAAUAUAAAAUGUACGAUUCUAUGGAGGCGAAGGAAAGUGGCCGUGAGAGAUUGCAAACAGCAUGGGGAGAUAUAAUUCGACGAAUUAUGAUUGUAUGCCCAAAUUAUGAGAGAUUGGUGAAAAGAGAUGCCAUAUUAAAAGUAACAAAGGACAAAGGCACAACAAAAGAGGCAGGCAAACAACAGAGUGAUGUGGAAAUUGCCCGAAGUAUUCGUAAUGCUGCGUUAGGAAUGUUAUCUCUUGGAAAUGCUGAUGAUGAAAGCAACAAAGAAAAUGUACAUAUUUAAGAUGAAG
Molecule: long non-coding RNA, 647 nt
Filed under: Androctonus crassicauda
Lineage: Eukaryota; Metazoa; Arthropoda; Arachnida; Scorpiones; Buthidae
Source: RNAcentral